GAUUAAACAAGGAUCUACACAAACUCAAUGUUUGACCUCAAUUGCAGCGCCCUAACACUGAGAAAUCAACAAGAAUUAAGCUUCAAAACACCACAUACUACGCAAAAAUCAAACCCAAAGAAUCCAUGAUGAUUGAAUUCUGCCAAUCGUUUUCACAAGCAUCUUAUGUACAUAACUGAAACUUUGCUUCUCUAAACCCCCAAAAAUCUGCACCUUAGCCAAGAUUUAACCAUCAAUUUGGGAUUCAAUAAUCAUCUAACAAUAGCCAUUAGUAGUUAUACUCUCAAAAACCACAAAAAUCACGACAUGAGAUUAACCAAACAAUAUAAAAAUAUAGCAGAAAUCCGUGCAACGGAGAGAAGGAAAGGAGUACCAGUGAGUAUAUUGAAAUACAAGAGAGAAAAGAAAGAGCUGAGAUGCUUAGAGUUCGAGCUUGCAAAAAUAACGAUCGACUGGCCGAGCAAACGAAUCUGCAAUUCAAAGCAUCUAAAAUUAAAGCUUCAUUCAACUAAAAUUUUCAGUGAUUACACAGUCAUAAUGGAGUGCCAAACGAUGAAAUUUCGUUCUCGAACCGGAAUCGCAACCUUGAACGGACGGAGCUUCAACGCCCUUUACAUAACCCAAACUCAGAAAUGACUCUAGCCUUAGAUUAAUUCCGUGGUUUUGGAAUAAGAAAUCAGAAAUUAGGAGAACAAGGCUAAAAUUCAAAACAAAACUUGAAAAGAUUUUAAUCCUUAAUUAGAAUAGAAAAUCUCGUGCGUUGCCUUCCUCUGUUUCUCUGUUGUUUGCUCUGUUUUCUUUAUUUUUUUUUAUGUUUUUCAUCCGCCUCUAUUCUGCUGUUGAAAAGCCUAGCUGGUCUGUUCUGGGUGGAGAUGAGGUCAUUCGUUGUAAGGGAAAUAGGUGGAGAAGAAGCUGGAAAUCAAGGGUCUUCCAUGGUGUUCUCUGUUCGAUGAAGAGAGCAGGGGUCGUUUGAAGAAGACGACGCGCGGGGGUGGGGGUGGAUGGGUGGUCUAGGGGUAACAACUAGUUUUCAUUUUUCUGUAUAUCUUCAGCUUUUUCAAUAAAGAAGACUGGGGAGGGUCUUGAUGCAUCCAUCGACAGAUUGCUCAUCUAAGGGUGGGGAAUCUGAUCGUAUUUUUUGUCUUAGCCCUAUUUAAUGCGAGGGAUUUAGGGUACAAAGAGGGGAAAGGAUUAUUGGGUGUUCUGGGUGUUUAAAAUGGACAGGGAUUUAAAUCAAAUGAAUUGUUCCAAGCCGGUGAGCUACAAA
This 1267-nucleotide long non-coding RNA is filed under the name Nicotiana benthamiana. RNAcentral describes it as "long non-coding RNA (NBEN_LNC026666)". The record is from RNAcentral. Lineage: Eukaryota; Viridiplantae; Streptophyta; Magnoliopsida; Solanales; Solanaceae.